CCUGGCGGCGAUAGCGCGGUGGUCCCACCUGACCCCAUGCCGAACUCAGAAGUGAAACGCCGUAGCGCCGAUGGUAGUGUGGGGUCUCCCCAUGUGAGAGUAGGGAACUGC
This 111-nucleotide ribosomal RNA is filed under the name Klebsiella aerogenes. The record is from RNAcentral. RNAcentral also lists the same sequence under 1 other name. Lineage: Bacteria; Pseudomonadati; Pseudomonadota; Gammaproteobacteria; Enterobacterales; Enterobacteriaceae.